Molecule: ribosomal RNA, 260 nt
Filed under: Neisseria gonorrhoeae
Lineage: Bacteria; Pseudomonadati; Pseudomonadota; Betaproteobacteria; Neisseriales; Neisseriaceae
Description: partial 16S ribosomal RNA
Rfam family: Bacterial small subunit ribosomal RNA
Source: RNAcentral
AGAGAUUGAACAUAAGAGUUUGAUCCUGGCUCAGAUUGAACGCUGGCGGCAUGCUUUACACAUGCAAGUCGGACGGCAGCACAGGGAAGCUUGCUUCUCGGGUGGCGAGUGGCGAACGGGUGAGUAACAUAUCGGAACGUACCGGGUAGCGGGGGAUAACUGAUCGAAAGAUCAGCUAAUACCGCAUACGUCUUGAGAGGGAAAGCAGGGGACCUUCGGGCCUUGCGCUAUCCGAGCGGCCGAUAUCUGAUUAGCUGGUU